RNAcentral lists this ribosomal RNA (490 nucleotides) under uncultured bacterium. Its description in RNAcentral is "partial 16S ribosomal RNA". It matches the Rfam family "Bacterial small subunit ribosomal RNA", at positions 30 to 507 of the family's 1533-position model. The record is from RNAcentral.
AUUGAACGCUGGCGGCAGGCCUAACACAUGCAAGUCGAACGGAAAGAGGAGGCAGCUUGCUGCUUCGCGUACGAGUGGGGGACGGGUGUGUAAUGUGUGGGAAACAGCCUGAUGGAGGGGGUUAACUACGGGAAACGGUAGCUAAUACGGCAUAACGUUGCAAGCCCAAAGAGGAGGAGCUUAGGGCGUCUUUGCAUCGGCUGUGACCAGAUGGCAUUAGCUAGUAGGUGGGGUAACGGCUCACCUAGGCGACGAUCACUAGCUGGUCUGAGAGGAUGACCAGCCACACUGGAACUGAGACACGGUCCAGACUCCUACGGGAGGCAGCAGUGGGGAAUCUUGCACAAUGGGCGAAAGCCUGACGCAGCAACGCCGCGUGUAUGAAGAAGGUCUUCGGAUUGUAAAGUACUUUCAGCGGGGAGGAAGGGAGUAAAGUUAAUCUCUUCGCUCCUUGACGUUACCCGAACAAGAAGCCCCGGCUAACUCCGUG